GACGAACGCUGGCGGCGUGCCUAAUACAUGCAAGUAGACCGCAGUUGCGAACGGGUGAGUAACGCGUAGGUAACUGCCUCAUAGCGGGGGAUAACUAUUGGAAACGAUAGCUAAUACCGCAUACUGUGAGAUGUCCCUGCGUUGGAUUAGCUAGUUGGUGAGGUAAAGGCUCAACAAGGCGACGAUACAUAGCCGACCUGAGAGGUGUAGGGGCGACACUGGGAAUGAGACACGGCACAGACUCCUACGAGAGGCAGCAGUAGGGAGUCUUCGGCAAUGGAAGGAAGUCUGACCGAGCAACGACGCGGGAGUGAAGAAGGUUUUCGGAUCGUAAAGCUAUGUAGUUAGAGACGCGGUAACUAACCAGAAAGGGACGGAUAACUACGUGCCAGCAGCCGCGGUAAUAC
This 407-nucleotide ribosomal RNA is filed under the name uncultured bacterium. RNAcentral's name for it is "partial 16S ribosomal RNA". It matches the Rfam family "Bacterial small subunit ribosomal RNA", at positions 28 to 526 of the family's 1533-position model. The record is from RNAcentral.